This 749-nucleotide non-coding RNA is filed under the name Pan troglodytes (chimpanzee). Lineage: Eukaryota; Metazoa; Chordata; Mammalia; Primates; Hominidae. The record is from RNAcentral.
AUUCCACCUCCCACACCUUCCCAACCCUGGCUGUGCUGGCCCUGACUGAGAGGAGGGGGCUUCCACUUCCAUCACCUGGCAAGGGAACCUCCACAGCCCAAGAAUAUUAACAUUUAUCAGGUGCCGGGCAUGGGCCUCAUGUGUUUUAUGUAAUUCAAUCCUCCCAACAAAAGUAUGAGAAAGACCACACUCAGGCCAAGCACUGUGGUUCCCGCCUGAAAUCCCAGCGCUUUGAGAGGUGGAGGCAAGAGGAUUGCUUGAGCUCAGAAGUUCAAGACCACCCUGGGCAACAUAAGCCAGCCCUGCAGCCCAGCCUUCAACAUGAGCAACUCCUGCUCUCUGUAGCUCCAGGCCCAGCCUGGACCUAUCUUUCAGAGCCAUAAUGCUGAGACAGUCCCUGAGUCUUGGAUGAACACAGGACUCACAGUGUCUACACCGGACAGUUUCUGUUUGCACGACAUUGAGUAAACUUCACAUCCAUCGGGGAAGUUACCCUUUGGGAUUGCUGAUGAAGGUGAGGAGAGGAUGCUGUUCUGAGAGCUGCUGAUAAUACGUGGAUCCACACCCACAGGCUUGAGCUGCUUGAUUGAAAUUCACGUCAAAAUGGAAUUCUGGUUUGGCUCAACUUGACUACUAUGGAUGAUGAAAAUAAAUCCCUGGGUCACACAAGGAUAGUGAUUGAGUAGAGCUUGCUUGCUGGCACAGGAAUGACAUUUCAACUGGAAUUAAAUUGUCGUCAGUUAACAGAC